CAUUUUCUCUUGCAUAAGAGAAAAUUGAAAGAUGGUUUCGGCUAUCACUUACAGAUGGGCCCGCGGUGCAUUAGCUAGUUGGUGAGGUAACGGCUCACCAAGGCAACGAUGCAUAGCCGACCUGAGAGGGUGAUCGGCCACACUGGGACUGAGACACGGCCCAGACUCCUACGGGAGGCAGCAGUAGGGAAUCUUCCGCAAUGGACGAAAGUCUGACGGAGCAACGCCGCGUGAGUGAUGAAGGCUUUCGGGUCGUAAAACUCUGUUGUUAGGGAAGAACAAGUACAAUAGUAACUGCUUGUACCUUGACGGUACCUAACCAAAAAGCCACGGCUAAAUACGUGCCAACAGCCGCGGUAAUACGUAGGUGGCAAGCGUUAUCCGGAAUUAUUGGGCGUAAAGC
This 403-nucleotide ribosomal RNA is filed under the name uncultured Bacillus sp. RNAcentral describes it as "bacterial SSU rRNA". It matches the Rfam family "Bacterial small subunit ribosomal RNA", at positions 173 to 566 of the family's 1533-position model. Lineage: Bacteria; Bacillati; Bacillota; Bacilli; Caryophanales; Bacillaceae. The record is from RNAcentral.